RNAcentral lists this ribosomal RNA (433 nucleotides) under uncultured bacterium. Its description in RNAcentral is "partial 16S ribosomal RNA". It matches the Rfam family "Bacterial small subunit ribosomal RNA", at positions 29 to 507 of the family's 1533-position model. The record is from RNAcentral.
AACGAACGCUGGCGGCAUGCCUAACACAUGCAAGUCGAACGAUGCCUUCGGGCAUAGUGGCGCACGGGUGCGUAACGCGUGGGAAUCUGCCUUUCGGUUCGGAAUAACUCAGGGAAACUUGAGCUAAUACCGGAUAACGUCGCAAGACCAAAGAUUUAUCACCGAAAGAUGAGCCCGCGUAGGAUUAGCUAGUUGGUGAGGUAAAGGCUCACCAAGGCGACGAUCCUUAGCUGGUCUGAGAGGAUGAUCAGCCACACUGGGACUGAGACACGGCCCAGACUCCUACGGGAGGCAGCAGUGGGGAAUAUUGGACAAUGGGCGAAAGCCUGAUUCAGCAAUGCCGCGUGAGUGAUGAAGGCCUUAGGGUUGUAAAGCUCUUUUACCCGGGAAGAUAAUGACGGUACCGGGAGAAUAAGCCCCGGCUAACUCCGUG